This is a long non-coding RNA of Hemicordylus capensis (graceful crag lizard), 2570 nucleotides long. RefSeq lists it as uncharacterized. Lineage: Eukaryota; Metazoa; Chordata; Lepidosauria; Squamata; Cordylidae. The transcript is spliced from 2 exons. The record is from RefSeq and is a predicted model, not a curated record.
GUGGCUUUGCAUUAAGUAAGUGCCCUUAAUCAGCUUUUCAGUUCAGUUUUAUUGGUUGCACCACAGUCAGUUAUUUCAUCCAGAAAAUCUGAGGGCCCUACAAAGCUAAGCAGAGAAUUUUCUCAUCUCUCAACAAUAGAGGCUGCAGUGGAAUUCAAAUUACACUAUCCAUAGCACCAGCUGUAUCAUAUUGAUGUCAGAAUUUCUAAGGACUGCUCCCUGCAAGGUGCUCUCCUUCACAUUAUUCUGUACUCUGAUAAGCAUUUUAUCCAUUUGUUUUAUGACUCCUAUCCUUUUCCCUUUGGUUUUUCCUUGUUUCCUGGUACCUUUUUCAGUCAAUGUGAAGUCGUGUUAAACAAGACUGAAGUAAUGUUGGCAGGAAGUUCUUCUGACUUAAUUGGCAAUAGUGAUACCUUUAAUCCUGAAGAAUUGCAGAAGUUGAAGUGGCAAGGUAGACGACUGGAGCGCAAGUGGAGAAAGACUCAACUCAAAUCUGACAGAUUACAACAUAGAGCACAUUUGAAGAUCUAUGGUCUGGCAAUGUGUGUGGCAAAGAAACAAUUUUUUUCUGCCUGUUUUGCUUCUGCAAGCUCACGUUCAGAAGAGUUGUCCAGGGUUGUGAGAGGAUUAGUACAUGUCCCUUCUUCCCUGAAUUUGAACCAGUUAUUCCCUGAAUUUGAGUCAGUUACCUGUUGUGACAUUUUAAAUGAUUUUUUGGUGGAUAAAAUCUCUCAUAUUUGGGCCAACCUGGACUCCACACUUACCACAGCAACUCCUCUUAUUUGGUGAGCUUGUAUCAAUUUCAGUCUAUGACUCCUGAGGAUGUGGACAAGCUGCUUGGCGUAGUGCAGCCUACCACAUGCUCUCUUGACCCCUGCCCGACAUGGCUUAUACUCUCUGGUAGAGAAGCUAUUGGAGGGGGCUAGCAUCAUGAUUGCUUCUCUGAAGGAGGGCAGAAUGCCUUCCUGUCCAAUGGAGGCUAUUAUUAAAUCUCUUUUGAAGAAGCCUACAUUGUACCCCUCAGUUAAGCAAUUAUAGGCCCAUUUCCAACCUUCCAUGGUUGGGCAAGGUAGGUGACUGAGAGAGCUCCAGAUGGUUUUGGAUGAAACAGAUUAUCUAGAUCCAUUUCAAUUUGGUUUUCGGGCAGGCUAUGAGGAAGAGUUGGCCUGAUAGAUGAUCUCCUAUUAGGAGCUUCACAUAGGAAACUGAUUAUCUAGACCCAUUUCAAACUGGUUUUCGGGCAGGCUAUGAGGUGGAGACUGCUUUGGCCGGCCUGAUGGAUGAUCUCCAAUUGGCAAUUGACAGAAGGAGUGUGACUCUGUUGGUCCUUUUGGAUCUCUCAGAGGCUUUCGAUACUAUUGACCAUGGUACCCUUCUGGAGCAUCUGGGGGGUUGGGAGUGGGAGGCACUGCUUUGCAGUGUUUCUGCUCGUACCUCUUGGGCAGAUUCUCUUGGAGACUUUUGUUCUUCAAAGCAAGAGUUCUGGUAUGAGUCCCACAAGGCUCUCUAAUGGCUCCAAGGCUUUUUAGCAUCUACAUGAAACCACUGGGAGAGAUGAUCAGGAAAUUUGGUGUAGGGUGCUAUCAAUAUGCUGAUGACACCCAAAUCUAUUUCUCCAUUUCAACAUCAUCUGAACAAGGCAUAACCUCCCUAAAUGCCUGCCUGAAGGCAGUGAUGGACUGAAUGAGGGAUAACAAACUGAGAUGGAAUUCAAAUAAGAUGGAGGUACUUAUGGUGUGGGGCCAUAACUCAGGAGACAGCUUCGAUCUGCCUGUCCUGGAUGGGGUUACACUCCCCCAGAAGGAACAGGUACACAGUCUGGGGGUGCUUCUGGAUCCAAGCCUCUCUCUGGCAUCUCAGGUUGAGGCAGUGGCCAGAGGUGCUUUCUAUCAGCUUCAGCUGAUACGCCAGCUGCGUCUGUUUCUUGAGAUAAAUGACCUCGGAGCAGUAGUGCAUAUGCUGGUAACCUCCAGACUUGAUUACUGUAAUGUGCUCUAUGUGAGGCUGCCUCUGUACAGAAACUGCAAUGGGUGCAGAAUGUGACAGCCAGGUUGGGUCAACUCAAAGAGGCCACAUUAUACCUAUACUGCACUGGCUACCAAUAUGUUUCUGAACAAAAUACAAGGCGCAGAUUAUAACCUAUAAUGCCCUAAAGAGCUUAGGUCCAGGAUACUUAUGAGCUCCGCCACCUAUUGAGAUCAUCUGGGGAGGUCUGACUGCAGUUGCCAUCAGUUCAUCUGAUGGCUGCUCAGGGACAGGCCCCAAAGCUUUGGAAUGAGCUCCCUGUUGAAAAAAGAACCUCCCCAUCUCUAAUAACCUUUAAGAAGGCAGUUAAGAUACAUUCAUUCACCCAGGCUUUUAAUUAGGCUUUUAAUUGGAUUUUUAAUUAGAUUUACAGAUUUCAACAUUCUUUUAAAUUUUAAAUGAUUUUAAUGUUGUAUCAUUUCACUUUUGUUUUAAUUCGUGCGGUUUUAUUGGAAACUGCCCAGAAACAUGUUUUGGGCAGUUUAUAUAUAUGUUUAAUAAAAUAAAUAAACAAACAAACAAAUAAAUAAAAUGUUUAAGUUUCA